ACAGGGGUGCCGACUUUGGCUGAGAUUAUACCCUUAACCUGAUUCGGAUAAUGCCGACGUAGGGAGCUUGUUUU
RNAcentral lists this non-coding RNA (74 nucleotides) under uncultured Ruminococcus sp. RNAcentral's name for it is "TPP riboswitch (THI element)". The stretch from base 2 to 66 matches the Rfam family "TPP riboswitch aptamer (THI element)", at positions 10 to 89 of the family's 105-position model. Rfam says of the family: Vitamin B(1) in its active form thiamin pyrophosphate (TPP) is an essential coenzyme that is synthesised by coupling of pyrimidine and thiazole moieties in bacteria. Lineage: Bacteria; Bacillati; Bacillota; Clostridia; Eubacteriales; Oscillospiraceae. The record is from RNAcentral.